AAAAAGGGAUGCAGUUGUUUGUCGCCUCAUUGAGUACCUUGGGGAACAUCAAGAAGAUCUCAUCCAAGAUUGGUAGGAUUUUGCGAUGGAGGGAAACAAAGUGCUGAACGUGUGUGGAAACCGAACCAAGGCAUGUGUGCUGUUGAUGGGAUUGAUCUACGCUCUCAAACUUGAGUAUUCCAAGAAGCUUGAGUAUACUUAAAGUAUUUCAGAAACUCUUUUGGUGCUUGACAGAGCAAAGCUGCUCAAGAAGGUCCAGAGCCUCAAAAGUAAGCUAAUGAUGAACUGUUUGUCACCGUAUUCAGGCACAGACUGUUUCCUGGGAACUUACUGUUGGUGCUGAAGAAUGCUCACUGUACAAUACAAUCAGACAAUUUCAUCUCCCAAAGAGCAGUGUCACAUUGAAAUUCACUACAUUCAAAUAAUGCAUAUCAUCUCAUGGAUCAGUGUUAUUCAAAAGAUACAUAUUGGUUGAGCAAGGACUGAACUCAGUGUGUUUCUGACUGGUACUAGGCUGUCAAUUCAUUUAACCAAAGGGACACGGUGUUGAGAUGUGGAAAAUGCUGUUUUUUGUUCAGGCACAGACUGACUGGUUAUCUUCAACAAUCCCAUAAGGCUUUGCAAAUAUCUGCAUAUGUUC
This is a long non-coding RNA of Perca flavescens (yellow perch), 640 nucleotides long. RefSeq lists it as uncharacterized. The transcript has 2 exons. NCBI's taxonomy places the organism in Eukaryota, Metazoa, Chordata, Actinopteri, Perciformes, Percidae. The record is from RefSeq and is a predicted model, not a curated record.